UUUUUUUGUGUCAAUUUUUGUUUUUAUUGAGGAAAUAGGAAGGUACAUAGCAAUUCAAUAGGAGGUAUACCAGACAUACACACAAGUAGAAAAGGUCAGCAUGAGGAUGAAUACAUAAUUAUCACAAUUCACACAUGAAUAUACUCCUUGCGAGUUCAGCCUCAUGAUAUAGGUUUUGAUAUAUUAAUACGUUGAAAAAAAGUCA
Molecule: non-coding RNA, 205 nt
Organism: Pelobates cultripes (western spadefoot toad)
Lineage: Eukaryota; Metazoa; Chordata; Amphibia; Anura; Pelobatidae
Source: the annotation of a GenBank genome assembly